Molecule: ribosomal RNA, 377 nt
Filed under: uncultured bacterium
Lineage: Bacteria
Description: bacterial SSU rRNA
Rfam family: Bacterial small subunit ribosomal RNA
Source: RNAcentral
AGACGUAGGGGGCGAGCGUUGUCCGGAAUUACUGGGCGUAAAGGGCGUGUAGGCGGCCAGGCAAGUCAGUGGUGAAAAACCUGGGCUUAACCGAGGUAUUGCCGUUGAAACUGUCUGGCUUGAGGAUAGAAGAGGAGUGUGGAAUUCCCGGUGUAGCGGUGAAAUGCGUAGAGAUCGGGAGGAACACCAGUGGCGAAGGCGGCACUCUGGUCUAUACCUGACGCUGAGGCGCGAAAGCCAGGGGAGCAAACAGGAUUAGAUACCCUGGUAGUCCUGGCUGUAAACUAUGGGUACUAGGUGUAGGAGGUUUAGAUACCUUCUGUGCCGUAGCUAACGCAUUAAGUACCCCGCCUGGGGAGUACGGUCGCAAGGCUGAA